GACGGAAGGUGCAAGCGUUGCUCGGAAUCACUGGGCGUAAAGGGUGCGUAGGCGGCCGUGCAAGUCUGGCGUGAAAGCCCCGGGCUCAGCCCGGGAAGUGCGCUCGAAACUGCGCGGCUCGAGUGCCGGAGGGGAGAGUGGAAUUCCUGGUGUAGCGGUGAAAUGCGUAGAUAUCAGGAGGAACACCGGUGGCGAAGGCGGCAUCCUGGACCAACACUGACACUGAGGAGCGAAAGCCAGGGGAGCAAACGGG
Molecule: ribosomal RNA, 253 nt
Filed under: uncultured bacterium
Lineage: Bacteria
Description: partial 16S ribosomal RNA
Rfam family: Bacterial small subunit ribosomal RNA
Source: RNAcentral